This 229-nucleotide ribosomal RNA is filed under the name uncultured eukaryote. Its description in RNAcentral is "partial 18S ribosomal RNA". It matches the Rfam family "Eukaryotic small subunit ribosomal RNA", at positions 1208 to 1456 of the family's 1831-position model. The record is from RNAcentral.
GGGAAACUCACCAGGUCCAGACUGGGUAAGGAUGUACAGAUUGACAGCUCUUUACAGAUUCUCAGGGUGGUGGUGCAUGGCCGUUCUUAGUUGGUGGAGUGAUUUGUCUGGUUAAUUCCGUUAACGAACGAGACCUUAUCCUGCUAAAUAGUGACUUGUAUCUCCGGAUAUAAGAACACUUCUUAGAGGGACUUUGUGAAUUUAAGCGCAAGGAAGUUUGAGGCAAUAA